CUACGGGGGGCAGCAGGCGCGAAACCUUUACAAUGCACGAAAGUGUGAUAAGGGAAUCCCAAGUGCUUUGCUUUUAGUAAAGCUUUUGCCAAGAGUAAAAAUCUUGGCGAAUAAGUGGUGGGUAAGACUUGUGCCAGCCGCCGCGGUAACACCAGCGCCACAAGUGGCAACCACUAUUAUUGGGCCUAAAGCGUCCGUAGCCGGUCCAGUAAAUUUCCUGUGAAAUCGUUAGGCUUAACUUAACGGCAUGCAGGAAACACUACUGGACUAGGGACCGGGAGGCGUCAGAGGUAUUCCUGAGGGAGCGGUAAAAUGCUAUAAUCUCAGGAGGACCACCAGUGGCGAAGGCGUCUGACGAGAACGGAUCCGACGGUGAGGGACGAAAGCCAAGGGAGCAAACCGGAUUAGAUACCCCGGUAGUC
Molecule: ribosomal RNA, 422 nt
Filed under: uncultured archaeon
Lineage: Archaea
Description: partial 16S ribosomal RNA
Rfam family: Archaeal small subunit ribosomal RNA
Source: RNAcentral